CAGUGCUAAAGGCAAACUCAGUGAGAGCUGAGGACGCAAAGCCACGGGUCUUAGAUUCUUGAUAAGAUAGCCGGGUUACCAUA
This 83-nucleotide non-coding RNA is filed under the name Desulfosporosinus acidiphilus. RNAcentral's name for it is "c-di-GMP sequence". It matches the Rfam family "c-di-GMP-I riboswitch aptamer". Rfam says of the family: GEMM was predicted in a large-scale screen for bacterial structured RNA regulatory elements. Genes associated with GEMM are involved in a diverse array of functions, including chemotaxis regulation, signal transduction, secretion and chitin. The record is from RNAcentral. Lineage: Bacteria; Bacillati; Bacillota; Clostridia; Eubacteriales; Desulfitobacteriaceae.